This 407-nucleotide transfer-messenger RNA is filed under the name Mycoplasmataceae bacterium. It matches the Rfam family "transfer-messenger RNA". From Rfam's summary of the family: Bacterial tmRNA, also known as 10Sa RNA or SsrA, is named for its dual tRNA and mRNA-like properties. Its role is to liberate the mRNA from a stalled ribosome. The record is from RNAcentral. Lineage: Bacteria; Bacillati; Mycoplasmatota; Mollicutes; Mycoplasmatales; Mycoplasmataceae.
GGGGAUGUUCCGGAUUCGACACGAUAUACGGACGUCUAGCGGCAGUAGGGUCAGCCCUUUAUAGCUCGAGGUUUUGUUAAACGACAACGUUUCAGAACAAGCUGAUUCAAGCUUAGAACCCGCUUUCUUCGCUGCGAAUUCAGCACGUCUUACUCCUUGCUACGCUUAGUUCGUAGACCUCGGAAUAGACUUUAAGGAUCAUUUGUUUUCUCAAUUUCGGAUGAUUCGUCAACAAAAUUGAUAUAUGGUUAAUCAUGCUAGUAGUUAAUCAUGAAUCUUACUAGCUAUCCUGGUCUUAGUUGUACUAUUACUGUCGAGAUCAGUGAACCAAGCAAAAUAGUACUAAACUGUAGAAACUAGACGAAAAGAUAUUGUGGAAAUGGGUUCAACUCCCAUCAUCUCCACCA